Molecule: ribosomal RNA, 1427 nt
Filed under: Bacillus paralicheniformis
Lineage: Bacteria; Bacillati; Bacillota; Bacilli; Caryophanales; Bacillaceae
Description: bacterial SSU rRNA
Rfam family: Bacterial small subunit ribosomal RNA
Source: RNAcentral
AAUGCAGUCGAGCGGACAGAUGGGAGCUUGCUCCCUGAUGUUAGCGGCGGACGGGUGAGUAACACGUGGGUAACCUGCCUGUAAGACUGGGAUAACUCCGGGAAACCGGGGCUAAUACCGGAUGCUUGAUUGAACCGCACGGUUCAAUUAUAAAAGGUGGCUUUUGCCUACCACUUACCAAUGAACCCGCGGCCCAUUACCUGGUUGGUGAGGUAACGGCUCACCAUGGGAACCAAUCGCGUACCCAACCUGAAAGGGUGAUCGCCCACCCGGGAACGGAAACACGGCCCAAACCCCUACGGGAGGCAGCAGUAGGGAAUCUUCCGCAUGGGACAAAAGUCUGACGAACCACCGCCCCGAGAUUGAUGAAGGUCUUCGAAUCGUAAACCUCUGUUGGUUAGGAAGAAACAGUUACCGUUCAAUUAGGGCUGGUACAUUGACGGUACCAAACCAGAAAGGCCACGGCUAACUACGUGCCAGCACCCGCGGUAAUUACGUAGGUGGCAGCCGUGGUCCGGAAUAAUUGGGCCGUAAAGCGCGGCGCAGGCGGUUUCUCAAGUCAGAUGUGAAAGCCCCCGGCUCAACCGGGGAGGGUCAUUGGAAACUGGGGAAGCUUGAGUGCAGAUAGAGGAGACUGGAAUUUCCACGUGUAGCGGUGAAAUGCGUAGAGAUGUGCAGGAACACCAGUGGCGAAGGCGACUCUCUAGUCUGUAACUGACGCUGAGGCGCGAAAGCGUGGGGAGCGAACAGGACUAGAUACCCUGGUAGUCCACGCCGUAAACGAUGAGUGCUAAGUGUUAGAGGGUUUCCGCCCUUUAGUGCUGCAGCAAACGCAUUAAGCACUCCGCCUGCGGAGUACGGUCGCAAGACUGAAACUCAAAGGAAUUGACGGGGGCCCGCACAAGCGGUGGAGCAUGUGAUUUAAUUCGAAGCAACGUCGAAGAACCUUACCAGGUCUUGACAUCCUCUGACAACCCUAGAGAUAGGGCUGACCCUACGAGGGCAGAGUGACAGGUGGUGCAUGGUGCGUCAGUCAGCUCGAGUAGUAGUACGAGAUGACUGACUUAAGUCCAGCAACGAGCGACUAGACCCGUCAUCGUAGAUGCAAAGCAUUCAGUUGGGCACUCUAAGGUGACUGCCGGUGACAAACCGGAGGAAGGUGGGGAUGACGUCAAAUCAUCAUGCCCCUUAUGACCUGGGCUACACACGUGCUACAAUGGGCAGAACAAAGGGCAGCGAAGCCGCGAGGCUAAGCCAAUCCCACAAAUCUGUUCUCAGUUCGGAUCGCAGUCUGCAACUCGACUGCGUGAAGCUGGAAUCGCUAGUAAUCGCGGAUCAGCAUGCCGCGGUGAAUACGUUCCCGGGCCUUGUACACACCGCCCGUCACACCACGAGAGUUUGUAACACCCGAAGUCGGUGAGGUAACC